CCAGAAAAGUUGACUUUGAAUUAUUGCUUCUCUACUGCUAUGGACUGAAUUUUGUAACCCCAGAAUUCUAACCCCUGAUGUAACUACAUUUGGACAUUUAGCCUUUAGAAGACAGGCAUGGAGAAAAGAUCAUGUGAGAACAUAGCGAGAAGGUGCCCAUCUGCAGGAAGAGAGCCCUCACCAGAAACUGAUUCUGCCAAACCUUGAUCUGGAAUUUCCAACCUCCAGAACUAUGAAACAUAAAAUUCUAUUGUUUAAGCCACCCAAUCUAUGCUAUAUUAUUAUGGCAGCCCCAGCAGAUUAAUACAACUACCUAUUAAUUGCAAGAUCCAGGGCAGUUAUUUAAACUUUCUUAAUCUUUAUUUUCUCAUCUGAAAAAUAAGGGAAAAAAGAUACUAGUUCUUUCUCAUGCCACUGUUGUAUAGAUUAAAUGAAAUAAUUUACAUGAAAUCCUAAACAUAAUAUCUGAUACAGUGCAUAACAUAAAUUUAAUGUAAUUAUCAUAUUUCAUUAAGCUAUGCUGCUCAAAAACUGAAGAGUCAUGAGAAGAAAUAAAACCAUAACACCAAUAAAAUUCAUAAUAAAAUUUAUGCUAUAACCAGAAAUACUCUUACUAUGGAGUUUCAAGGCAAUUCCACAUUAAAAUACUCUGAAAA
Sapajus apella (tufted capuchin) is the source of this 656-nucleotide long non-coding RNA. RefSeq lists it as uncharacterized. The record is from RefSeq and is a predicted model, not a curated record. The transcript is spliced from 2 exons. Lineage: Eukaryota; Metazoa; Chordata; Mammalia; Primates; Cebidae.